GUGAUCGCUUUGGCAGCACAUACACUAAAAUUGGAACAAUACAGAGAAGGUUAGCAUGGCCCUUGUGCAAGGAUGAGACGUAAAUUCAUGAAGUGUUCCAUAUUUUU
Small nuclear RNA from Choloepus hoffmanni (Hoffmann's two-fingered sloth), 107 nucleotides. The record is from Ensembl. NCBI's taxonomy places the organism in Eukaryota, Metazoa, Chordata, Mammalia, Pilosa, Megalonychidae.